GAGCAGAAGACACUGAGUGAGGUGUCCAGUAUGCAGAGCUGAUGAAGUGAACUUGAUCCCUGCUCUGGUGAAUCCAAGAAGGUAGCAACGUGUACUCAGUAUGUUUGGUGUCUCACAAGCAUCCAGUUGAACACUGGAGCCAUGGAGAGAGCUCAGUCUCACACCUAAGAAGGUUCUCUGAAUGUUGGUGAGACUGAGCUGAGCAGUACCUGCACAGUGUGCAGCUGUAAUGAAGCACUUGCCCUGGAAUCCUUCUUGCAAAUUUCUGUUGAUGCCCUCCCUGAGCUGUUGGUACAGAAACAACUUGAAACAGGUAUUAACCUUCCUUACCAAUGAAAGUUUAGUUACAAAGUCUCUUGCUCCAAAAAAGAGGUAGUUCUUUGCAACUUAUGUUUCAAAUAAUUUCAGUGUCAUUUUCUAAAGAAAGAUUCUGCGCUAGGACAAGACAGCUUGGAUGGUCUUUUCCAAGGGAUUAACCGAGGAAAGUUUCCCCCAAAUAAAUCUCGGUGGAGCAGAGUUCCUGCCUCCCUGCCCUGCCCCACUUCUUCCCCAGUGGACCCCGCCUCCCUGAAACGGCCAGUGCACACUCGGGCCCCAGUCCUGCCCUCCUUUCUCAGUGGCUCUGGAGUGUGAGUGUGAAGCUGGUGACAGAACACGCAGCCCAGGCCAGUCCCUGCUCCUGGCGGACGGGCAAGCUUACCUGGGCCAUCUGGGUUGCGGUGUUUCCCUUUGCCCCUAGGAGAACCAUGGCCAGGGCAGAGGAGAUGCUCACAGGAGAACAGAACACGUUGUGCGAAGGGUUAUCUUGACACAGUAUCUUUAAAAGGCGUAUGGCAAAAGUACCACUUGCAUUAGAAAGAGUUUCCAUGAUGCAGGGCCUGGAAGGGAAGAAUAAAGAGAAAUGCAGUUUCCACACUCCCUGAAUGUUACUG
RNAcentral lists this long non-coding RNA (932 nucleotides) under Homo sapiens (human). Its description in RNAcentral is "HSALNT0099913". Lineage: Eukaryota; Metazoa; Chordata; Mammalia; Primates; Hominidae. The record is from RNAcentral.